UCUUAGCUUCAAGAAGCAUGGAAAUCAGCUCUUAACAUUUGCCUCUAAAUAUACAUAUGCCUACCUUGGAGCUCAUUUGAUUGGCUGGUUCCUGUGACGGUUGGGAAUUUCCCUGUGUACCACCUAUAGAACCCUGCCCUGAGCCUGUGACGUACCAGUGGGACUGGUUUUGUAUAGGAUCGAGACUCCUGUUUACGUAUAAUAUCACUUUGAUCUGCACCAUGAGGCGCCUCUCUUUUGUCUUUUAGGACUGUAUCCUCCUGUUAUCACCCAGCAUGGAAAUAUAUAUUGUAAGCACACUACGCAAUCUGGUUAAUAUACUCAAUACCCAUCAAGACGCUCUCAUCCAGGAGAUAAAGUUGGCUUCUAGCCCAGUGUUUGAAAAAAAUGUGAAAAACAUAAAUGGCAAUUUAAUUACCCCAACUAUUUUGAACCAGGCAUGCAGGGUUGACCAGACUGCAGGCGGGAAUCUCACUGGUGUCUGCUAUGGGAUAAGAAAAUAUUUUAGUGAGCACAUUACAGGGGACUUUUGGCAGGCUAUAGAAGUGCCAUUUUGUGGAAGCUCAAAUUCCUGGUAUGACCUCUUCUGUAUUACUGAAAACAUACCACAAUCAAUCUUUCUGCUCAGGUCUGGUAACUUAUACACAUUGCAUAUCUGCUAUAUAGGGAAGUCUGGUUGUUGUUCAGAGGACAUUGUUCCUAUUAAGGACUCACAACAAUUGAUAAAGAUAUACUGUGUUGGGGCAGACAUUGGAUAGCUAAUUGGCCAUUAAUAUUAACCUAGAUGUAAGAGGACAGAAAUAGCAUGUAUAGGUUUAAAGGUAAUAGUAUCAUUUAGCCCACAUACUUUGUUGUCAACUGAGUGAGAACUGUCAUAUAUUCCUUUAUUAUUUUUUAUUAUUAUGUUAAAGUUUAUAUAUUGCAGUGUUCACUUUUUAACACACCUGUUUGUCUCUUUGCUACAACCAUUCCAUAUCAACUUAUGUCCUUUAUUUUCUGUAAUGGCACUUUGACUGUUACCAGUAUUCUGUUAUAUUUUAUGCCCUUCCACAUAGCUCAACCAAUAUUCUAAUGGUGUAUUGCACUCUUCAUUGGAGACAUAGUCCUUCUCUUCCUCAGCCGGCGUGGAAGAGGGGGGAUUGUGAUUAACAGUCUAGAGCAGCAUUAGUUUACUUAAAAUUUUCUUAAUCUUUUUUAUUUAAAGGGACAUUCAACACUUAGUGUAACAUGUUUUGAUAUGGUAAAUAAAAAAACAAAAUAUUGUGCUAGUACCUAGUUUAUGGGUAGGUGACUUAAUUCACAGAGAAAAUUAAGACACGUGACCUUAGAGUCUCCUAAGCAAUUAAUAAAGGGCUCUUUUAUAAUCAUUCCUAGCUCAUGAUAAAUAACAUAAACACAUUAUACCAUAAGACUUUCUCUUUAAGGUAUAAGUAUAUAACCACAUUUCUGUUAUUGUUUAAACGUUAUCAUUUUCUAUAUUCAAGGGUCCAUCAGUGACCUGUUUUAAAACUAUUUAGAAGAGAACUAUCACAUCGCCUAUCAUUAGCGACUUGUUCCCUUUGUGGUUACCAAGAGAGAGAUGUCAUGCAUAAUCAAAUGGCCCAUAAGUAGUCAGUUUAGUAACCACUCAUAGGAUAACACUAGUUAUAAAAAAAGAGGCUUCUGAAGUUUGUCAUACCACAAGUUGCAUACUUCACUAUUUCCAGUAUAUAUCAUAUUGCUGUAUUGUAAUUUUAAUUUCUGUUAUAUGACUUUCACUGUUUUGUUGGAAUUUGUGCCAAACCUCAAUAAAGGAAUAUAAAAUAAAAAAAUAAAUAUAGGUUUUAAGACUA
Long non-coding RNA from Bombina bombina (fire-bellied toad), 1832 nucleotides. RefSeq lists it as uncharacterized. The transcript is spliced from 2 exons. The record is from RefSeq and is a predicted model, not a curated record. Lineage: Eukaryota; Metazoa; Chordata; Amphibia; Anura; Bombinatoridae.